RNAcentral lists this unclassified non-coding RNA (303 nucleotides) under plant metagenome. Its description in RNAcentral is "partial contains 5.8S ribosomal RNA, internal transcribed spacer 2, and large subunit ribosomal RNA". The stretch from base 1 to 105 matches the Rfam family "5.8S ribosomal RNA", at positions 50 to 154 of the family's 154-position model. The record is from RNAcentral.
GAAAUGCGAUAAGUAAUGUGAAUUGCAGAAUUCAGUGAAUCAUCGAAUCUUUGAACGCACAUUGCGCCCGCCAGUAUUCUGGCGGGCAUGCCUGUUCGAGCGUCAUUUCAACCAUCAAGCCCCCGGCUUGUGUUGGGGACCUGCGGCUGCCCGCAGGCCCUGAAAACCAGUGGCGGGCUCGCUGUCACACCGAGCGUAGUAGCAUACAUCUCGCUCAGGGCGUGCUGCGGGUUCCGGCCGUUAAAAGCCUUUUUUACCCAAGGUUGACCUCGGAUCAGGUAGGAAGACCCGCUGAACUGACGC